GGUGGAUUGGGGUGGGAUGAUCGCUGAGGUUGGUCAUCAAGUUCAAAAUUUGGAGGCAAGGAGAGGAAAAGCUUCUUUGUGUGUCCUGUUCUCUCCUGCGUGAAAUUCGCAGGGAAAUGAUGACAAGAAAAGGCAUCACAAGACUGGGUUCUCUGCAGAUCGUGGGACAGUCGUGGGACCGUGUCACACGGGAAAACAUAGCGAGCUCAGGCUGAGUUCACCAAGCCCUCACAGAGACUGAGUACUACAGGGAACUGUAGCUCGUCGGGCUCCAGGGCGCGGGAGUGCUCCGCCCCAGGGCGCCACGACCUAGCCCAUUCCCGGAGUGCUUAUCUUUUCUGUCUUUUCCUUCCCCUUCUUGGGCGUCUGCUUUCCCGCCAGACAAAAGGCACAAAGAGGAUGUGUUUCCUCAACUCCUUUUCUAGGAGCUUUUUAUCCAGUUUCUUGUCCGCAGCCUCUCCCCCAGGCUGGAUGCCCAGGCGGUCUCCGGAGAGGAGGGGGAGGAGGAGGAGGAGGAGGAGGAGGAGGAGGAGGAGGAGGAGGAGGAGGAGGGGGGGGGGGGGGAGGAGGAGGAGAGGGGGGUAGGAAGGAAGAGGAGGGAGCCGAGGAAGACGCGGAGCCUCCACCCGCCAGCCGGGAGCACUUGCAGCAGGUGCAGGAGGCUGGGCCCCGGGUUUGCACCCUGCGGCGGUGCCUGGGCCUCAGGAAGCCGACCCGGGAAGACCCGCCAGCCCGAAAAAAGUGAGCUGGAGAGAGGAAUAGAAGCGCCGGUUUCUGCUUAUUAUUCGCUGUUUCUGAUGGCCAAGAGCAAGGGGCAGUCAAGGCCAUUAAUGCAGAACUGGAAUUCAGCGAGGAGCGCCUCUUCUGCAGACUGCCCCCCGCUAGGGCACGGGGAGGGCACCGGUUCCUCUGCGCGGAAAGGAGGGGGAGAAAGUCGCUAAGAGAAAAAUCCGGUGUGGCCCAGAUCUCCGGGUGCACAUUCCCGGGAGAGGAGCGCGCCGUUUCCAGCGCGGUGCAGCGCUCCGAGCGGCGGCCACCAGCGACCCAGCGCGCGAGCACAACGCGACCCACGAAGGGGGCUCGCGGGAGGCACCAAGAAGCACCGGCGCAUCAGAGCGGAGAACCCGCAGCCGAACCUUGCCGGGGCGCACCCAGCACCGGGGCGGGGGCCAGGACUUCGCUUCCACCGCAUGGGAUGAGCUGUGCAAGGUGGAGGAAGGCGGCGCAGAGCCGGGGGACGAAGCCCGGACCGGACAGGAAUCCCGGGGAGAAAGAAGGGGGCCCCAGCCUGGCCAGGAGGGGCAUUUUUGUCAGAGGGGGUAUUGGGGGAGUCCCUGAGCGCCGCGGGUUCCAGGGGGGCAGCGCGGACGCCCAUUCCCUGUUCUCCCCCGAGAGAAGCCGUUCCCGUGGGGCAGGAAGGGCUCUCAGCUCUUUGAGAUUGAGAUUCACAGGAAUCUAA
RNAcentral lists this long non-coding RNA (1459 nucleotides) under Canis lupus familiaris (dog). Its description in RNAcentral is "lncRNA (ENSCAFG00030020531.1)". Lineage: Eukaryota; Metazoa; Chordata; Mammalia; Carnivora; Canidae. The record is from RNAcentral.